GGGCUCACUUUGGCAGCACAUAUACUAAAGUUGGAACCAUACAGAGAAUAUUAGCAGGUUCCUAUGCAAGGAUGAUACACAAAUUGGAGAAGUGAUCCGUAUUUUU
This 106-nucleotide small nuclear RNA is filed under the name Ictidomys tridecemlineatus (thirteen-lined ground squirrel). The record is from RNAcentral. Lineage: Eukaryota; Metazoa; Chordata; Mammalia; Rodentia; Sciuridae.